CACGCUGUAAACGAUGCGAACUAGGUGUUGGUAGUAUUAAACCUAUCAGUGCCGUAGCUAACGCGAUAAGUUCGCCGCCUGGGGACUACGGCCGCAAGGCUAAAACUCAAAGGAAUUGAC
This 120-nucleotide ribosomal RNA is filed under the name uncultured bacterium. RNAcentral's name for it is "partial 16S ribosomal RNA". It matches the Rfam family "Bacterial small subunit ribosomal RNA", at positions 796 to 914 of the family's 1533-position model. The record is from RNAcentral.